Xyrichtys novacula (pearly razorfish) is the source of this 3269-nucleotide non-coding RNA. NCBI's taxonomy places the organism in Eukaryota, Metazoa, Chordata, Actinopteri, Labriformes, Labridae. The record is from the annotation of a GenBank genome assembly.
CUGCUCUGCUCGGAGUGCUGGUGAGUAGGGUGGCUGGUAACUUUUAAUCUUUAGAGUUUUAUGAUUGCUUUUAACAGCAUGUCCUUUUUGUUUGUAGGUGGUAGACCUGCUGCUGUUUUGUUGCCCCCAUUAACUGUCGUUAUUUUUGCCUGUUUACUUUGGUUGUUUCUGCCCUUUUGAUUGGUUUCCCCCCUUACUUGGUUUGUUUCUACCUCUAAGUUUGGUUGUUUUACCCAGUUACUCCCCCAUUAGUUUGUAUUCUGUUCUUAGUUACCCUUAGUUGCUUUUCUCCUUAGUGAUUCUAGUUUUACCAACGGGGUUCGCUGUUGCUGGUUUGUUUGUUUCUUUGGUUAAUCCUUUUAUUUUAUUUCAGAAGUUGAGCCCACUAGUUUGGGAGGCUAGGCACCCCGGGUGAGGGCCCUCCACCUUUGCAUGAGUUUGACACAGGGUCACAAGACUACACCAAUUUGUUUCUUUUUUUGAAGGUUUGAAGUGUGUGUGCUGUGCUUCACUUGGUGAGUGUAAGGGAGCACUCCCCUGCACUUUCCCUCUGUAGUCUGCCUCCCUUCUGGUGGCCUCAGCUUAUUUUAAGUUAACUUGUGUAGCAAUCAAGACAACCCUUGGUGUGAGACUCACACAUUCCUCACAGGAAAGUUUCCUUAUCUGAUCCCAGGACACAGGAUAUAAAUCUUUCCAGACUUGUGUGCACUUUCAGGUUACCUAAUUGACCCGACCGGAGGUUGACUAAACCUCUGACUCUUCACGAUUGGUCGAUUCGGAGAACAGAGACAGAGUUUUUAUUACCUUUCAAACUGACUCCAUUGCUGACCAUCUAAAUAAACAUUAACGCUUCAACCCGGAUCUCCCAUUUGAGAUUUACCGGACCACUGACCUCCAGACCUCGGUCGUAAAACCCUGCUCGACCAUACACUGAUAAAGACUACAUUCCUUUGGUGAAGGAAUACAAAUGACUGAUCAUGACAUCUUAUGCAUUCAGCAAUGUACUAAUCUGUCUAAUCAUGAAAUUUGUGUUAAAAUGAGAUGUUUCCCAUUUUUCUAUGUGCUCCAGGAGCCGAGUUAUCACUCUGACAGAAUAAAUCCUUAUUCUUUUGUUUCUUUAGACCAACAGCUUUUCAGACUGUUUCAUGAACUUUUACGAGUUAAAUUUAUUGACUAUGGAUCAUAACUUUACUCUAAGUAAAAGAAAUAGUUUAGAAAUGUUUGGUUUAUAUUUUAGUUGUUAUUUAGUAUUUUUAACCAUUAGGUGGUUAUAAUGUCAUUGAAUAAUCUGAAUGUGAGUAUUUAGAAUCCAUUAUUAAUCAUGAUGAAUUUCAUUCACGUGUUUACUCUUUUGUUGUUCACAGUUUCCAUGUGUUACUAUCUGUUUCAUUUCAGAGUAAUUUAGCAUGUUCAAUGUGAUACUUAAAACAUAAUGAGAAUGUUUGAUGUGAUCCUACACUUCAUUCAUAUGUGUUUAGUAUCAAAUUAUUUAUCAUGAAACCAAGCAUUCAAUGAUAUUAAUCAUAGUGAGUGAGUAUCAGAUCUGACUCUUUUACCAGCCAAAAGUAUAAGUUAGAUCAAAUAAUCAGAGAUCCAAGGUCCUCUCUGCUUGGAGACCACACGACCCCUCCUCUGCCUCUCACACACACACACACACACACACACACACACACACACACACACACACACACACAUGCCAGAGCCACUCCCAGUGUGAGAAGAUAAAACCAGUGAAGUGGGGUUGCUCACUCUCUUGUUCAGUCUUAUCUGCUCUUCUCUUAUGCCCCGUACUCUUGUACCCUUCCUCUUCUCUCCUCUUCUUUGUUUUCUCUUAGAACUUUUCUUAGUCUUCUAAGGUUUACGCCACGUGUUGAUUCACGUUGAUUUUUCUCUAACAUCGUCUUAGUUCAAGUUAUGAAACUUCAACUUUUUGUGCGCAUAGCAAUUCAAGAUUAAGCCUUUGAUUGAUUUUUCUUUAAUUUCGCGAAGCCAUUUUUGAAAGUUUACUCUGCUCGAGUCUCGUUUUUACGAGUUAUCUGCGUGAUUUCAAAGUCACCUCUGAACGCAACCCAGCAGGCCCAGGUCAUCCUCUGUGCCAGAGUUUUUGAGUGAGACCAAAGAAGUACCCAAACGAGCAUCCACAGGAUCCACAGGCGCUGGUUUUGCUUCGGGCCUGAGUGCUGCAACUCCUGGCUCAUCCUUCGGCUGACUUCAGUCGUCUUCUGAGCUGAACCGCUCGAACCGCCAGUAGCCCCGGACUUUCGGAACCUGCUCCAUCUUCUCCAAGGACCAGUCUCACUUAAGUAUGCAAACCUCCAGAGCUCCAGACAGGGCUGAUGCUGUCUCAUGCGUUCAUAACUCAGAUAUCCACCUAUUUCUGGUGAUCUUAGAUUCCUCCAAAUCCACAUCCGAGUAUAUCUCGACACCAAAGUUAGUGUAGGUUAAUAUGUUAGCGCAUAUUCACUCACUAUCAUUAACUUUAGUGCUCCUAGCCUGACUCAGAAUCUUUAUUUAUUCACCUAUUAUUAUUUAUCCUCAUUAUCUUAUCAUCAUUUAUUGCAUGUGUGUUGUACCAUCAUUUAUCCUGUAAUAAACAGAUCAUUAUUUUUCUAAGUUCUUGUCUGUUAGUGUUCUUCCAGAAGUGGAGUCCCUGAAAUUAGAAUUUCGACUUAAGAUAUGAGACUGAUUAAUUAAAACUGACUUGAUGUUUGAUUUCUGAAUUAAACUUUUGUUUUCUUUAUUUUCCCACCAUUAAGGGUGGGUGGUGCCCCUUUCAACGAGUGCAUAAAUGUCAUAAUUUGAGAUUAUUAAUCUUCAUACAUUUAUUAUAAAUUCCAAUCGCUACAGUAUUAUUUUGGUGCGGCCUUGUGAGGCUCAUUACAAAUCGCUACACUUAGUUUGGGUUUCUUUGAUUUAGUUUAAGUUGGGUUUAUUGUACAUUUUUAACUUUUGCAGAAGGCCUUGUUUUAAAUUAUUAUAGAAAUAAAAUUAACUUUCUUGACCCUUAUCUGUGUUUUGUUAUGUUGUUUUAACUUUAUCCCUUUCUUUCCCUCCUAGGUUAAAUUUCUCUGUUAUAUUUAAGUUUAACUUCAUUUUUGAUCUAAUAAACAUUUUGAACUCUGUCUCUGCCUCUUUCAGAAUUUACCUGUGUUGCCUUAUUCUUAUUUUGGCUUCCUGUUAUGAUUUUAGUCUGAAAGUACAGUUUCCUGGGGUGCAAGUCCCCAGGUGGCGUUGCUGGUUGGAGACAAUAUCAUCUAAUUGUGAACAAA